This 524-nucleotide ribosomal RNA is filed under the name uncultured bacterium. Its description in RNAcentral is "partial 16S ribosomal RNA". It matches the Rfam family "Bacterial small subunit ribosomal RNA", at positions 28 to 523 of the family's 1533-position model. The record is from RNAcentral.
GACGAACGCUGGCGGCGUGCCUAAUACAUGCAAGUCGAGCGCAGGAAAUCGACGGAACCCUUCGGGGGGAAGUCGACGGAAUGAGCGGCGGACGGGUGAGUAACACGUAAAGAACCUGCCCUCAGGUCUGGGAUAACCACGAGAAAUCGGGGCUAAUACCGGAUGGGUCAUCGGACCGCAUGGUCCGAGGAUGAAAGGCGCUUCGGCGUCGCCUGGGGAUGGCUUUGCGGUGCAUUAGCUAGUUGGUGGGGUAAUGGCCCACCAAGGCGACGAUGCAUAGCCGACCUGGGAGGGGGAUCGGCCACACUGGGACUGAGACACGGCCCAGACGCCUACGGGAGGCAGCAGUAGGGAAUCUUCCACAAUGGACGAAAGUCUGAUGGAGCAACGCCGCGUGAACGAUGAAGGCCUUCGGGUCGUAAAGUUCUGUUGUAAGGGAAGAACAAGUGCCGCAGGCAAUGGCGGCACCUUGACGGUACCUUGCGAGAAAGCCACGGCUAACUACGUGCCAGCAGCCGCCGUAA